Molecule: long non-coding RNA, 1436 nt
Filed under: Pogona vitticeps (central bearded dragon)
Lineage: Eukaryota; Metazoa; Chordata; Lepidosauria; Squamata; Agamidae
Description: lncRNA (ENSPVIG00000016446.1)
Source: RNAcentral
GUAUUGUGCACUGCUUACGGCUACACAAUGUCAAUUUGGUAUUCUAAUUAUAGACCUUUCCUGUAUAUUAUGGGAUGCUCUGAGAGUCCCCAGCCUGUCCAUUGCUUGAGGGACAUCAAACGGCCCACCAGGAUUACUCAUUACUCCAAUGAAGGUUCAGAUACAUUUUGAACCCCACAGAACUUUUAUUAAGCAAUAGAGAACUGAACCAUGAAGCAAAAAAGUAAUCAUCCAUUUGGUGGUUCAUUUUGGGAUGCUUCAGGGUAACACACUUGCCCAGAAUGAAACAAAAUGUGGAGUUGUUACCAGCAUUGGUGAUUAGUGUGUGGGCUAUAACUUGGACACCCCAAACCAAAUCUUCACCAAACUUGGUUGAACCCUUGGUCUGGCUAUACUCCUCACUUCUUCCAAGCUUGGUGAAGAUUGAAUAUUGGAGGUCCAAGUUAAAUUCCCUCAAAUCAGGUACCCCCCAGGAAAAUGCUCUCCAGCAGCUAGCCAAAGAGCUCUUUCCUGGAGGAAUCUGAUAACUUGGAUGUCCCAAAUCCAGUCUUCACCAAACGUGAAAGGGAUGGGGAGUAGAGUGACUUGAAGACUCACAGUGAGUUUAGCAUCUAACUCAUGCAGUGACUAUUCCACCACUCCCGGAAGUCCAGAAUUGUGUGAACUGUGUAAUGGUUAAUUGCAUCAGAACAUUUAUAAAUGUUUGUGGUUUGUGAAUAGCAAUGAACCCUGAACCGUCAUGAACUGCUGUUUUCCUGAUUGGUGCCCACAUCUAUUACAGAAUUAAUUUUUUAAAAAGCAGGUUCUUGUCUUUGGGUCAGUUAUCCUCCAUCUUUGCUCCCUCAGUCUGUAUCUGCCACACUCUGGACUAUUAUAUGGGCACAAUGCUAUAGGGCAACACCUGAUCUCCAGACUUAUAGAGGGUUCCACUGAUGCCCAGAUGCCUCUUAUGGACCACACCCUGCUCUUUGCUAUCUGUGUCUUCCAUGCCCUGGUAUUUGGAGCACAUGCUCUACAGUGUCGAAAAUGCUUCGAAAAAGGAGAAACUUUGGGUGGAAUAUGUAAACCAUUUGACAGGAAGGAUGUCUGUGAAGCCACUAAAACGGAAACCUGUGGUUUAGACAAAUUCUAUGUAGACGGAGAAUUAAAAGCAAUUGUUCGAACUUGUGUAGAGAGAAUCUUUUGUGGUAAAAGAGCUAAAUUUUUCAACAAUAAUCACUUCUAUGAAGACUUCACCUGUUGCAAUGAUCAAGAUUUAUGCAAUGAAUAUUUAUAAAUAUGGCUGAAAUCCACCUGAAGAUCCCUAUAAUACUGAGGGGGGAAAAAUCUGUGCCCUUAUCUCAUAAGCUGUCUUCUUUUGUCUCGCAAGCUGUUGAGUUGAAACCAUGCCUUUCUACAGUCUUACAAUGCAUGAAAUAAAGCUACUUCUUUGUUCA